This is a long non-coding RNA of Lemur catta (Ring-tailed lemur), 1079 nucleotides long. RefSeq lists it as uncharacterized. The transcript has 3 exons. The record is from RefSeq and is a predicted model, not a curated record. NCBI's taxonomy places the organism in Eukaryota, Metazoa, Chordata, Mammalia, Primates, Lemuridae.
UUGAACUUAGUCAAGUAAGCGAUCAACACACGUAUUGAACUUCUUGUUCAUCCUUCAGUGAAGACUGCCCAGACACGCAGACAGACAGGAAGUGAUCUCUGUGCAAGGAAGCAAAGUCACGCCUCUUAAUCAUGUCGUCCCUGAGUUCCACUCUCUGGGUUCGGGUGUGUAUGCUGGAAAAAAAAUUCAGUUUCAUGCCUUGGUCUUCUCAGCCAUAAACACACGGGCCUCACCAUCGGUGGUGUGGACUCUGGUCGGUGAUGUGACAUACACACAGCACUGGAAAUAACACCGUGUCACAGCAACGCAGGGUUGAUCUCGGCGCUGCUCCGUCCCGGUGCUCUGCAUGGCCACGGAUUCUAAGGUGGAGAAGCUGAGGCUCAGAGGAUUGGACUGGAAGAUCAGCGUUGCCUGGAAAGCAGGUGCUGGAGCAGCGAGUUACAGCGUCGCCUUGACCUGCCCUGGGCAGGUGGCUUCACCCACCCGCUCGCACCCACUGUCUGGACUUCAUUUCAUCUUUCAGAUGAGAGCCCAAUCUCUCUGUCAUCAAGGCCAGUCUAGAACGCCCACGAUGCUCCUCCCCUUUUAAACUAUGAUCCACCAACUACCACAAAUUCCCUGCGAUCUUUGUCCACUUGUUUUACGUCCCUGCUGUGAACAAAUGUGAGGAUUCAGAUUUUAACUCCUUUUUGGAAAAACAGUACAAUAUUUGCACUUCAGUGAGAAUUAUGCUCCUAGUCCCCUGCCUUGCACAGCACUGUCAGUUCCCAUGUGGGGAUCUGCUCUGGGCACCAGGGCCGCCAGCAGGGCUGGGGUGGUGAGCUCCCCCACUGCCCGCCCUGCCGCUGCGGAAACAGAAGCUCUCCGCACAUGCUGGCUGCUCUGUAGAUUCCUGCAGGUAUUUUCCAGAGCAAAGCUUUAUGGAGUCAGGAGUCUUCACCCCCUUUUGUGAGGUGUGUAGCAUUUGUUAGACAUGUGGCCUUUGCUAUAUUAGUGGCCUGAUUAACUCUUUAAGCAUGUCCAGAAGACUCAACCUAUUCCUUCCCAAUAAAGCAUUUGAAUCAAUUUGGUCGUUUGGG